RNAcentral lists this ribosomal RNA (492 nucleotides) under uncultured bacterium. RNAcentral describes it as "partial 16S ribosomal RNA". It matches the Rfam family "Bacterial small subunit ribosomal RNA", at positions 29 to 507 of the family's 1533-position model. The record is from RNAcentral.
AGUGAACGCUGGCGGUAGGCCUAACACAUGCCAGUCGAACGGCAGCACAGUAAGAGCUUGCUCUUACGGGUGGCGAGUGGCGGACGGGUGAGGAAUACAUCGGAAUCUACUUUUUCGUGGGGGAUAACGUAGGGAAACUUACGCUAAUACCGCAUACGACCUACGGGUGAAAGCAGGGGAUCUUCGGACCUUGCGCGAUUGAAUGAGCCGAUGUCGGAUUAGCUAGUUGGCGGGGUAAAGGCCCACCAAGGCGACGAUCCGUAGCGGGUCUGAGAGGAUGAUCAGCCACACUGGAACGGAGACACGGUCCAGACUCCUACGGGAGGCAGCAGUGGGGAAUAUUGGACAAUGGGCGCAAGCCUGAUCCAGCCAUACCGCGUGGGUGAAGAAGGCCUUCGGGUUGUAAAGCCCUUUUGUUGGGAAAGAAAAGCAGCAGGUUAAUACCCCGCUGUUCUGACGGUACCCAAAGAAUAAGCACCGGCUAACUUCGUG